Limulus polyphemus (Atlantic horseshoe crab) is the source of this 355-nucleotide long non-coding RNA. RefSeq lists it as uncharacterized. The record is from RefSeq and is a predicted model, not a curated record. NCBI's taxonomy places the organism in Eukaryota, Metazoa, Arthropoda, Merostomata, Xiphosura, Limulidae. The transcript is spliced from 3 exons.
GUUACUGUUAUUUUAGAAUUCUGUAAACCUUGAAAUAUAUUGUGAACUCAUGUAUGAUGUAAGUGUAAACUUUUUUUUGAGUGUGCCAAACAGUUUGAGUAAAUAUUCUGUAACUGAAAAAAACAACUUCAUCCCAUGUAUUAUGUGAUUUUAAUUUUGCACUUUGAUACAUAAUUUUCAAUUUCAGCGAACAAAGAUGUAGGAGAACCAAAAAUAAUUUUUGAUAUUAUGGUAUAUGCCAAUUUAAUAUGUUUUGAAUAUGUGUCGUAAAACUAAUGGUAAGUAAUGUUAUCAAAAUAUAGAAUAUUAUAUUUGCUUUUCAUCUAAUAUAUGUAUAACUAAUGUUAAAAUAUGC